Molecule: non-coding RNA, 1042 nt
Organism: Labrus bergylta (ballan wrasse)
Lineage: Eukaryota; Metazoa; Chordata; Actinopteri; Labriformes; Labridae
Source: RefSeq, a predicted model, not a curated record
AUCCCUGACACAUUCAUGUCUUAUGCUGACAAGUUGACCACACAGUCCCUGGUUGACACCUGUCCCUCUCGAGGCUCGAUUCUUCAAGAUCAAUCUGAUUAUUAUAAAGUCGGGUCCUAUAUGGCCUAAGGCUGCUUCAGUCAUGGCUGUUUUCUCUACAAGGAGAACCACUUUCUCAUUUUGGAUUUCAGUGUUUCUCCUCCUGCUCGUCUUCCUCCAGAUGUUAACCGCCCUGGUGAAAUUUGCUGGUGUGUUCAUACUUUCCAACGAAGCCUUCGUCAGCCCCUUUCGGUUUUGUCUAACAGACCAACACGGUGAAUCAUCCUGCAGGAGCCAUGUUAAUGGAGCUGAAUCUGGGGUAAAAAUUAACAUCCUCACAACAGUGGUGAUCCUCUGUUUGUACGUGCCGGUGGUUCUUGUGGCCUUUGCCCUGUUGGCCACGAUGCUAGCAGCUUACGCCAGAGACAGAACAGCACUCUGGUUAAGCGCGGGCUGCCAGGGUGCGUCGAGCCUGCUCAUCCUGAUGGGAAUUGUCAUUUUUUUGCUACUUAAUCAUUCGCAUGUGAGUUGGGAUCACAUGACCCUCAGCUUCUAUCUCUGCGUGGCUGCGCAGGUGGAGCUGGGGGUCACCGCUGUGCUGACCUAUGUGUUAUAGAGGAGACUGUCUGAAUGGGACGAGGUCAUCUAAAUGAAAAUGUAAAGUUGUGAAUAACUUGUGGAAGAGGGAAAAUGUAAUCAAAAAUGUCAAUAGAAUUAUAACCAAACAGUAUUUUUUGAUAAAUCCAGAUUAUGUUCUUCAUAAGGUUGUCUCUAAAAAGUGUUUCUAUCUGUAUUUUUGUUUGCAUAUGCUGAUGAAAACAAAGUGUUAAAGCAGAUUUGAUGAGGAACUGAUUUUCAGUUUGCCUUUCUUUUUGUUAAAUCAACUGGAACAUGUUGUACUUGCCCUUGCCUGCUGCUAAAGAGCUCUUCCAUUCUAGACAAACUGGUUUUGUAAACGUGAAGGCCAACUAUGUAAAUAAAUCUCACUUUUAAAAAAAACACA